GGGGCUGUAGCUCAGUUGGGAGAGCGCUGCCCUUGCAAGGCAGAGGUCAAGAGUUCGAACCUCUUCAGCUCCACCA
This 76-nucleotide transfer RNA is filed under the name Pseudomonadota bacterium. Its description in RNAcentral is "Proteobacteria bacterium (wastewater metagenome) tRNA-Ala". It matches the Rfam family "tRNA". From Rfam's summary of the family: Transfer RNA (tRNA) molecules are approximately 80 nucleotides in length. Their secondary structure includes four short double-helical elements and three loops (D, anti-codon, and T loops). Further hydrogen bonds mediate the characteristic L-shaped molecular structure. tRNAs have two regions of fundamental functional importance: the anti-codon, which is responsible for specific mRNA codon recognition, and the 3' end, to which the tRNAs corresponding amino acid is attached (by aminoacyl-tRNA synthetases). tRNAs cope with the degeneracy of the genetic code in two manners: having more than one tRNA (with a specific anti-codon) for a particular amino acid; and 'wobble' base-pairing, i.e. permitting non-standard base-pairing at the 3rd anti-codon position. Lineage: Bacteria; Pseudomonadati; Pseudomonadota. The record is from RNAcentral.